Molecule: long non-coding RNA, 611 nt
Filed under: Equus caballus (horse)
Lineage: Eukaryota; Metazoa; Chordata; Mammalia; Perissodactyla; Equidae
Description: lncRNA (ENSECAG00000058579.1)
Source: RNAcentral
CAACGACUCUGAGCUCCCACCAAAGUCUGGAACACUGACUAUAGAGGAAGCCAACUGUCAACGUGAUCACAGCCAUCGUUCGAAUUCACCUUCCGGGGACAGCAGUUAGCUGAGAUCCAGGUGGAGCAGAGGGGCUGGAGCUGGGCCAGCAAGCACGACCUGGGAGCUGAGAAGGGGAUCUAAAGAGAGGGGGCAGACCUUCCAAAGACGGAUUUCACCUGACAUCUUACCAGGGCUUACCCCAUCCCAGGAACGCUUCAAGUCCACCCACACUCUGAGAACAAAAAGAUUGCGGCCGCAGGACUAUGAGGACUCACACCUGGACCUGAUCAGGAAAGCACACAUCACCCAGAGACCCCGGACCUGGAGCUUUGACAUCCAAGAAUAGGUGGCUUUGGACCAUCUCCCUUUGGGCAGACAAUGAGAAAGAAAGGUUUCUUUCCAUUGAGGUUGCCAGGUGGAGAGGAUGCUGGAUAUCUGGGACUUGAAUUGUGUGGGAAGAACAUGACUGGGAAUGAAGCCAGCAGAGAAAAGCAGGGCCAAAAUGGGAACACAACCUGAGCCCUAAGGUUGUCAUUUGAGACCCAGAAUUGAACUGUGAUCAAAGCCAG